CGCGAAACCUUUACACUGCACGAGAGUGCGAUAAGGGGACUCCCAGUGCGAGGGCAUACAGUCCUCGYUUUUCUGGACCGUAGGGAGGUCCAGGAACAAGUGCUGGGCAAGACCGGUGCCAGCCGCCGMGGUAAUACCGGCAGCACGAGUGAUGGCCGAUAUUAUUGGGCCUAAAGCGUCCGUAGCCGGCCAGACAAGUCCGUUGGGAGAUCCACGUGCUCAACACGUGGGCGUCCAGCGGAAACUGUCUGGCUUGGGGCCGGAAGACCCAAGGGGUACGUCCGGGGUAGGAGUGAAAUCCCGUAAUCCUGGRCGGACCGCCGAUGGCRAAAGCACCUUGGGAGGACGGACCCGACGGUGAGGGACGAAAGCCAGGGUCUCGAACCGGAUUAGAUACCCGGGUAGUCCUGGCCGUAAACGAUGUCCGCUAGGUGUGGCGCAGGCUACGAGCCUGCGCUGUGCCGUASGGAAGCCGUGAAGCGGACCGCCUGGGAAGUACGUCUGCAAAGAUGAAACUUAAAGGAAUUGGCGGGGGAGCACUACAACCGGAGGAGCCUGCGGUUUAAUUGGAAUCA
This 575-nucleotide ribosomal RNA is filed under the name uncultured haloarchaeon. Its description in RNAcentral is "bacterial SSU rRNA". It matches the Rfam family "Archaeal small subunit ribosomal RNA", at positions 340 to 914 of the family's 1478-position model. The record is from RNAcentral. Lineage: Archaea; Methanobacteriati; Methanobacteriota; Halobacteria; Halobacteriales; Halobacteriaceae.